This 433-nucleotide ribosomal RNA is filed under the name uncultured bacterium. RNAcentral's name for it is "partial 16S ribosomal RNA". It matches the Rfam family "Bacterial small subunit ribosomal RNA", at positions 29 to 507 of the family's 1533-position model. The record is from RNAcentral.
AACGAACGCUGGCGGCACGCCUAACACAUGCAAGUCGAACGAUCCCUUCGGGGCUAGUGGCGCACGGGUGCGUAACGCGUGGGAACCUGCCCUUAGGUUCGGAAUAACUCAGAGAAAUUUGAGCUAAUACCGGAUAAUGUCUUCGGACCAAAGAUUUAUCGCCUUUGGAUGGGCCCGCGUUGGAUUAGCUAGUUGGUGGGGUAAAGGCCUACCAAGGCGACGAUCCAUAGCUGGUCUGAGAGGAUGAUCAGCCACACUGGGACUGAGACACGGCCCAGACUCCUACGGGAGGCAGCAGUGGGGAAUAUUGGACAAUGGGCGAAAGCCUGAUCCAGCAAUGCCGCGUGAGUGAUGAAGGCCUUAGGGUUGUAAAGCUCUUUUACCCGGGAUGAUAAUGACAGUACCGGGAGAAUAAGCCCCGGCUAACUCCGUG